Molecule: long non-coding RNA, 2026 nt
Organism: Lolium perenne
Lineage: Eukaryota; Viridiplantae; Streptophyta; Magnoliopsida; Poales; Poaceae
Source: RefSeq, a predicted model, not a curated record
GGCCCACCGGUCAGUGCGCCGCGGGGAGCCAUCUCGUAUCGUCCCCUCCACCUCGCCGGAGGUGGAGGUGGAGGCGGAUCAUCCGCAGAUGGUUUGGUUGGUGGCUUCGUACGACCUGAUUUCACCAUGGACCGCCGGAUCUUUUCCUCUUCGAUCUGAAUCUGGGUUAUUUCUACUCACACAUGCUUCGCAUCCUCAAUCCUGAUCUUGCGCUGCGCAGGUGGGAAAGCUUCUUGUGGGCUGGAAUCAUCUGGAUCCUGGAUCCUGGAUCCAUCCAUCAGAGUUUACAAGUUCUCUUGAAAGUUGAAACUUAAAUACAUCACAAUUACCAACUAAGGUAUGCAGUUCCAGAGAAAGAGUAGCGACAGUGAAAAGUGUGCAGUAAAUUGAGGUAUAGCUAAGUUUCAAGGAUUCUAUCAACCUUGCUCUUUUUGCGAAGCCCAGUGAGCAGAUGGUCUCGCCGACAUCAUCCUUAGAAGGACUGAUAUGCACUACCAUCAGAACUUUUGAACCACCACCUGUAACAUAUCAACAUAAACCAUAUAGGUUUACAUUACAUUACAUUUCUUUGUAACUUUGAUGCUUCAAAUUGGACUGGGAAAUUUCCCUUACCAAGAGAAUCACUGAGAAUUUGGGUGAGCUUGCUGUUUCUGCAGAGUUUGAAAAUUAAAAUAAGCAAUGACAUCUCCAAGGGCUGAUAGAGAGAGGUUUAUGGCCUUACCUUCAUCCAUUGUCAACCCAGACGCACCAGUCUUUAGCAACCGCUCACUGCCACCAAGAUCGACGAGCCAAAGCUUGCUGACUUCUUCAGUGACACCUCCAGAUCUUCUUAUGGUAAUUCUUGUCAAGCUACACACAGACACAGCUAAGGCACAUAAAAUUGGGUACUGUUCAAGUUACCAUACUGCAGAAACUGAAACUCUGUAGCUGGAACGGCUCAUCAACCCACCAGUGUGAUCGGCUCGAAACAUCGUUGACAUUUGUCCAGGAUGUCGAUCGGGAUCGCCGCCCUCUGCAAUACCACUGGUUGGCUUUCUUGAUGUCUGGCAUCGCAACAUCGGUGAAUUGAUGGGUCUUUACCACGUUGUAUUGCAUUCUGUGGACCUGAAGAGAUGCUGCCUUGGUGCCAACAAGUCCCUGAGACUUCCCAUGUAGACCUCAAGCAUGCUUAUGGAGAAAGAAUAUGUGGAUGAACUAUCUUGAGAAGCAUGCGAAAACAGUUCUUGUAUCGCUCGAGGCACGACGCCAAGGUUAUCGUUAGUUCCUUCCUGCAUGCAGUUUGGAAGGAAAGGUCUUUCCUGUCCCAGUUUGGCCAAAAGCAAGGAUGCAGACGUUGUGCCCAUCAAGUGCAGAUCUGAUGAUUGGCUUUACCUCAUGGAAGAGAUCAUCUGCAGCAUGAACACGGUUGAAAUGAGUUAUACUUUAAGAAUAUGAGCACUGGAAUUGUGGAAAGGCAGUGAAGCAAGAUGAACCUUGCGUUGACUCCUGGUCAAACACCCUAUCAACACUGAAAUCUUUCUUGACGCCCACUGCUCGAACUGUGAUCUUCUCUUGUUCAACAGUAACUGGUGAUUUGAUCUUGAAGUUGCUGGUUGAGAUUAACGGCCGGACCCGGCAGAACACCCUGAUACUUCCUGAAUUGUAGCCAAACUCAGCUCAUUGGACUCUCAAGGAAUAAUAAUAGCUCUAUGCUGUGGAGAACACCAACUUCUAUCUUGUAUCAAAGGCAGUACCUUUCAGGUCUAUGAGUUUGUCCAGCGCCUCUCGCCUUCUCCGGUUGAGAUGUCUAUGCCUUGAUCUCAUAGCCGAAAUCUCCUCUGAAACAACAUUGGGCCAAAAGGAUUAUAUUCUGGUUUUUCUGUUUCAAUAAACCGUCACAUGAACUCAAUACACAAGAGAGUGGUGUUUGUCUGAACCUUGCAGAGUUGACAUGUCCUUGUCAUGGCCAAGUACGAUUUCACCGUUGGGGACAUCCAAGCUCAGGUUCUCCAGUGGCAGCAUCACAUGACCCCCCAUGGCCUCCUUC